ACACAUUUAGGGAGUAUAGGUGAAAGCCUAUUUCAUAUCUUUUUAGCAGAUAGCAUGUUUUUUCUUAAUAUUUAUAGGAAAACUAUUUUGGGGAAGAUGAUAUGUAUAUGGAUUUUGAAGAAGUUAUUUCAAGCCCUGUUCUGUCACUGUCAACAUCGUCCAGCUCUGGAUGGACUGCUGUUGGAAUGGAAAAUGACAAAAAGGAAAAUGAGAGUUCAGCCAAAUCGAUUCAUCCCCUUACUUUGCGUCCUUGGGAUAUUACUGUACUUGUUAAUUUGUACAAAGUUCAUGGGCGUCUUCCAGUUCAUGGAACUACAGAUGGGCCUGAUUGCCCUACAGCUUUCUUGGAAAGACUAUGUUUUGAAAUGAAAAAAGGAUUUAGAGAGACCAUGCUGCAACUUGUCUUGUCACCCCUCAAUGUGUUUGUCAGCGAUAACUAUCAGCGACCACCUGUGGAUGAAGUUCUCAGGGAAGGUCACAUCAGUUUAUCAGGUCUCCAGCUGAGAGCACAUGCUAUGUUCUCAGCAGAAGGUCUUCCUUUAGGAAGUGAUUCCUUAGAAUAUGCAUGGCUAAUUGAUGUGCAGGCUGGAAGCCUUACAGCAAAGGUCACAGCACCACAGCUGACAUGUCUCUUGGAGUGGGGACAGACCUUUGUUUUUCAUGUGGUGUGUCGGGAAUAUGAACUGGAAAGACCAAAAUCAGUGAUCAUGUGUCAGCAUGGUAUUGAUCGUCGGUUCUGCGAAUCCAAAUUGAGUUGUAUUCCUGGGCCUUGUCCAACUUCAGAUGAUUUGAAAUAUACCAUGACUCGCUUAGCAGUGGAUGGAGCUGAUCUUUAUAUUGUGGAACAUGGUUGUGCUACAAAUAUAAAGAUGGGCACAAUUCGGGUCGCAAACUGUAAUCUCCACAAUCAGUCAGUUGGGGAAGGAAUAAGUGCUGCGAUUCAGGAUUUUCAAGUGAGACAGUACAUUGAGCAAUUAAAUAAUUGCAGAGUUGGACUUCAGCCUGCAGUGCUACGGAGGGCCUACUGGCUUGAAGCUGGGUCAGCCAACUUAGGACUUAUUACUGUUGAUAUUGCAUUAGCUGCUGAUCAUCAUGCUAAACAUGAAGCACAAAGACAUUUCUUGGAAACACAUGAUGCUAGAACUAAGAGAUUGUGGUUUUUAUGGCCAGAUGAUACUCUGAAGAAUAAGAGGUGUAGAAACAAGUGUGGAUGUCUGGGUGGCUGCAGAUUCUUUGGUGGCAUAGUAACUGGCCUAGAUUUCUUCAAACUGGAAGAAUUGACACCUUCCAGUAGCUCUGCGUUUUCAAGCAUAAGUGUGGACUCUGAUAUGUGUUAUGGUCAGUCUCUGCUACAGCCUGGAGAAUGGAUUAUUACAAAAGAAAUUCCCAGAAUUACAGAUGGUAACCUGAAUGGUAUGAAGAGGAAAGAAUGGGAAAACAAAUCAGUGGGAAUAGAAGUAGAAAGAAAAACUCAGCACCUUAGUCUUCAAGUACCAUUACGAUCUCAUAGUUCAUCCUCUUCCUCAGAAGAAAAUAGUAGUUCUAGUGCUGUGCAACCUUUAUUAGCAGGCGAAAAGGAAAGUCCCUCUUCUGCUGCGGAUGACCGUGUAGUUCAGAAGGAGUUCUUGCAUGGUACGAAAAGAGAUGAUGUCCAAGUAAGUAUUCCUACAGAAAUUUCAGGAACCAGUCCUGUGUCUCCUAAUACUCAGGAUAAGUCAGUAGGUCAGUCUCCUCUUAGAUCUCCUUUGAAGCGACAAGCCUCUGUAUGUUCUACCCGACUUGGAAGUACGAAGAGUCUUACUGCUGCUUUUUAUGGGGACAAGCAGCCUGUUACAGUUGGAGUCCAGUUUAGUAGUGAUGUCUCUCGAAGUGAUGAGAAUGUACUAGACUCACCAAAGCAGAGGAGAAGUUUUGGUUCAUUCCCAUACACACCAUCAGCAGACUCCAAUUCAUUUCAUCAGUAUCGAUCAAUGGAUUCCAGCAUGUCAAUGGCUGAUAGUGAAGCUUACUUUUCUGCAGCUGAGGAAUUUGAGCCCAUUAGCAGUGAUGAGGGCCCUGGAACUUACCCUGGCAGGAAGAAGAAGAAGAAGCAAACACAACAGAUUGACUACAGUAGGGGUUCUAUAUACCACAGUGUAGAAGGACCACUUACCGGCCAUGGAGAAAACAUUCCUGAUCCCCGAACUCUGCCAUUCAAAACUCAUCCUUCCCAAGCUUCAUUUGUUUCUGCAUUAGGUGGAGAAGAUGAGGUGAUAGAACAUUUGUAUGUUAUAGAAGGUGAGAAAACAGCAGAGAGUGAACAGAUCACUUCCCAGCAACCUGUGAUGAAUUGUUAUCAGACUUACCUUACUCAGUUCCAGGUAAUUAAUUGGUCAGUUAAACAUCCAAGCAACAAAAGAACCUCUAAGUCCUCACUGCAUCGCCCUCUUGAUCUGGAUACACCCACCAGUGAAGAAAGUGCAUCAUCCUUUGAACAGCUUUCUGUUCCAACAUUUAAGGUUAUAAAACAGGGGCUUACAGCUAAUUCGUUGCUAGACAGAGGCAUGCAACUUUCAGGAUCAACUUCAAAUACUCCAUAUACCCCCCUGGAAAAGAAGAGCGUUGAUAACACGGAUGAUGAGACUUUGGCAGAAGAGUGGGCCCUGGACCAGCCAGUCACUCAGACCAGGACGACGGCGGUGGUGGAAGUUAAAGGAACUGUCGAUGUAGUACUGACUCCACUGGUGGCUGAAGCUUUGGAUAGAUAUAUUGAAGCAAUGGUUCAUUGUGCCAGUACUCGACACCCAGCUGCAAUUGUAGAUGAUCUUCACACGAAAGUCCUUAGGGAAGCUGUCCAGAACAGCAAGACUACCUUCUCAGAAAAUUUAUCUUCCAAACAAGAUAUUCGAGGAACCAAAACUGAGCCCCCUCCGAUAGGAACAACUAACCAAGGACAAGCUCAGACAAAUCUUACAGUGAAGCAAGAUAAUGUAACAAUUAAAGGUCUUCAAGCUAAUGUUAGCAUACCAAAGGUAAAUUUAUGUUUAUUACAAGCUUCAGUAGAAGAAUCUCCAGCUACAGCUCCUAGUAGAAGUGUGACUCAUGUUUCCCUAGUAGCCUUGUGUUUUGACAGAAUUGCUACGCAAGUUCGUAUGAACAGAGGUGUGGUUGAAGAGACUUCAAAUAAUGCCGAUCCUAGUAAAACAUCAAAUUUUGAUAGAUAUGUUCAUGCCACUAAGAUGCAGCCUCAGUCAUCUGGAUCUCUCAGGUCAAAUGCUGGAGCAGAAAAAGGCAAAGAAAUUGCUGCCAAGUUAAACAUUCAUCGAGUUCAUGGGCAACUUAGGGGUCUUGACACAACAGAUAUUGGAACCUGUGCCAUUACUGCUAUUCCUUUUGAGAAGUCCAAAGUUUUAUUUACACUAGAAGAACUGGAUGAAUUUACUUUUGUAGAUGAAACAGAUCAGCAAGCUGUCCCGGAUGUAACUCGAAUAGGUCCUAGCCAAGAAAAAUGGGGUUGGAUAAUGUUUGAAUGUGGACUUGAAAAUUUAACCAUAAAAGGAGGAAGACAGUCUGGGGCUAUUUUAUAUAACAGUUUUGGAAUUAUGGGUAAAGCUAAUGUCACAGAGAGAGGUGGAGUACUGACCUCCAAUAAUUCUUCCGAUUCUCCAACUGGCAGUGGUUACAAUACUGAUGUCUCUGAUGAUAAUCUUCCAUGUGACCGGACAAGUCCUUCCUCUGACUUAAAUGGAAAUUCUGUUUCAGAUGAACAAGACGAAGGAGUCGAAUCUGAUGAUUUAAAAAAAGAUCUACCUCUAAUGCCUCCACCUCCAGAUUCAUGUAGCAUGAAGUUGACCAUUAAAGAAAUUUGGUUUAGUUUUGCAGCUCCCACCAAUGUGAGAUCUCCUACACAUGCAUUUUCUAGGCAGCUGAAUCUUCUAAGCACUGCAACUCCAGCUGUUGGCGCAUGGCUUGUCCCCAUUGACCAACUCAAGUCCUCUGUAAACAAACUGGAAACUGAAGGGACUCUGAGAAUCUGUGCUGUUAUGGGAUGCAUAAUGACAGAAGCCUUAGAGAAUAAAAGUGUACAUUUUCCCCUAAGAAGUAAAUACAACAGACUUACGAAAGUUGCCCGCUUUCUUCAAGAAAAUCCUUCAUGUUUACUUUGUAAUAUAUUACAUCACUACCUGCAUCAAGCAAAUUAUUCCAUCAUUGAUGAUGCUACUAUGAGUGAUGGACUUCCUGCUUUAGUAACUUUAAAGAAAGGUUUAGUUGCACUGGCAAGACAGUGGAUGAAGUUUAUUGUGGUGACACCUGCCUUUAAAGGAGUUAGCUUACAUAGACCUGCUCAGCCCCUGAAACCUCAAGUGGCUGUGGACCACGAACAUGAGGAUGGACUUGGUGUAGACAAUGGGGGUGGUCUUCAAAGUGACACUAGUGCUGAUGGAGCAGAAUUCGAGUUUGAUGCAGCCACAGUCAGUGAACACACAAUGCUACUGGAAGGAACAGCUAACCGGCCACCACCUGGUAGCUCUGGGCCUGUUACUGGAGCUGAGAUAAUGAGGAAACUUUCAAAAACUCACACUCAUAGUGACUCUGCAUUAAAAAUAAAGGGCAUUCAUCCAUAUCAUUCUCUGAGCUAUACCAGUGGAGACACUGCCACAGAUUCUCCAGUGCAUGUUGGGCGUGCUGGAAUGCCAGUAAAAGAAAGUCCAAGGAAGGAGAGCCUACUUAGCUAUCUGACUGGAAGCUUUCCAAGCUUGCAUAAUCUUCUGGAGGGGACUCCACAGAGGAGUAGUGCAGCUGCGAAAAGUAGCUCCUUGACAAGAACAGGAAAUACAGUGGCCACUGAUAUGUUAUCUGAACACCCUUUGCUGUCUGAGCCAUCAUCUGUGAGUUUCUAUAAUUGGAUGUCAAAUGCUGUGAGUAAUAGAGGGAGCAUGGUACAAGAAUCUCCUGCAACAAAAUCAGGACACAAUAGUCUUCCAACAGGUGUUGCACCCAAUCUCCCUACAAUACCCUCAGCCUCAGAUUUCAACACAGUCUUGUCUAGUGACCAGAAUACUUUGGAUGGAACACAUUCUCAGCAUAGCACUAGUCAGGAUGAUGUGGCGGGUGUAGAAGAAGCCAACCAAGGAUUCCCUGCUGUUCAGCUUGCUGAUGCACAGGUUGUUUUUAAACCUCUUCUGAGUCAUACAGGGAUCCAGUCACAGGACACAAUGCCACUCUGCUAUCGAAUGUACUUUGGAGAACACCUUUCAUUUUCAGGGACACUAGACUGCCUCAGAGCAGAUAUUGUGGAUUCAGACACAGCCAAAGAGAGAAAAGGCAAAAGAGCAAGAAGGCAAGGCCACGUGAAUCUUCCUCCACUUGAGUUCAAACCAGCAUUAAUGUUGGAAACCUUUAGCAUCAGUGCUGUGGUAAUGGAAAAGUCUGUGUGCACUCCGCAGAACUCUGCCAACGCUCUUUCUUUCCAUGACCUCAACAAGCGCUAUUACAAUACCUUCCACUGCAACUUUACUAUUUCCUGUCAGUCAAUUAGCCAGCAUGUAGAUAUGGCAUUGGUUCGUCUUAUUCAUCAGUUCAGUACAAUGAUAGAUGAUAUCAAAGCCACUCAGACUGACAUUAAACUUAGUAGAUAUACAGCUGGAUCUGCUUCCCCAACACCUACCUUCAAAACCAGAAAACAUAGAGAUUUUCGUUCAUCUGACUUCAGCCGCAGUUCUAGAGGAAGUCUUAAUGGUGGCAACAGAGUAAAUAAUGUCAAGAAUAAACGGGCCAACAAUGAGAAUAACAAAAAGGAAUCUCGAAACAAAAAUUCAUUAGGAAGAUCUGAAAGAAGAACUUCAAAAGUAUCUAGGAAAGGUUCAAAAGAUGUCGUAGAUCACAUGACUAUUCAUAUGGAUGACUCUGAUUCAAUUACAGUGUCAGAACAAAGUGAGCCUUCAGCUGAGUGCUGGCAGAAUAUGUAUAAAUUACUUAACUUCUAUUCACUUAUCUCUGACCCAACAGGAAUAUUGGAAAAAUCUUCAGAAACUUUUGGACCACCAGGAGUUCGGAGCCCUACAGAGCCAACAUGUAAAGUUGUGUUUGAGAAUGAACAAGACAACAACAGUUUGACUAAGACACAGAGGAAACGGAGCUUGGUGACUUCUGAACCUCAGCAUGUUACACUAAUAGUUUUUGGGAUUGGCAUGGUGAACCGCACACACCUGGAGGCAGACAUUGGUGGCCUAACAAUGGAAUCAGAACUGAAGAGGAUCCAUGGCAGUUUUACCCUUAAGGAAAAAAUGAAAGAUGUUUUACAUCAAAAGAUGACAGAAACAUGUGCCACUGCUCAUAUUGGUGGAGUUAAUAUUGUACUACUUGAAGGGAUUACACCAAAUAUACAGUAAGUGUGUCAAUUUUUGUUAUUAUCUUGUACUUACUUGUCAUAGAUUUAUAGAAAAAGUUCUUUGAAUGAGCGACAUGCUGAAGUUUGAGGUUUAUACACAAUGUUUCCAGAUACUAAAAUUCUGAUUGUCAUUAAGGAUAUUCCCUAAUAAAAUAAUUUUAGAACAAUGUUUGUUUUCCUAAAUUGAUUUUGCUACCAGACCCUACCCAAGUAACAACCAACCAAAACCUGAUUCCCAGUAUAUUGUUAAGAUUGCCUAGUAGAAAACAUGAUCUCAGGGUAUAAAAUAGCAUAUAAUAUGUGAAUGUUAGUGUAAUUUGUAGUUAAUUUAAAAAUUAUAGACAA
Molecule: long non-coding RNA, 6715 nt
Organism: Cavia porcellus (domestic guinea pig)
Lineage: Eukaryota; Metazoa; Chordata; Mammalia; Rodentia; Caviidae
Source: Ensembl